RNAcentral lists this ribosomal RNA (443 nucleotides) under uncultured bacterium. RNAcentral's name for it is "partial 16S ribosomal RNA". It matches the Rfam family "Bacterial small subunit ribosomal RNA", at positions 338 to 795 of the family's 1533-position model. The record is from RNAcentral.
CCUACGGGAGACUGCAGUGGGGAAUAUUGGGCAAUGGGCGCAAGCCUGACCCAGCAACGCCGCGUGAGGGAAGAAGGCUUUCGGGAUGUAAACUUCUUUUCUGAAGGACGAAGAGAGUGACGGUACCUCCGGAAUAAGCCACGGCUAACUACGUGCCAGCAGCCGCGGUAAUACGUAGGUGGCAAGCGUUAUCCGGAUUUAUGGGUUGUAAAGGGCGUGUAGGCGGGAAAGCAAGUCAGAUGUGAAGACUCAGGGCUCAACCCUGAGCCUGAAUUUGAAACUGUUGUUCUUGAGUGCUGGAGAGGUAAUCGGAAUUCCGUGUGUAGCGGUGAAAUGCGUAGAUAUACGGAGGAACACCAGUGGCGAAGGCGGAUUGCUGGACAGUAACUGACGCUGAGGCGCGAAAGCGUGGGGAGCAAACAGGAUUAGAUACCCUUGUAGUC